GUUAGGCACCAGUCAAACGUAAUCUAAUCGGAGGUGUGUCGGUUUUUGGUUCGGGACUUCAGUUCCCAGAAUUCCUCCGCAGGGACAUGGAAGAUGCUUUCUGCAACAGAAAAGGCAGGCAGGAGAAUCAGAUGCUACUGCCUUAAGAUAUCCAAGCACAGCAGAGCAGAAGCAAGUUUUCAGCAAGCACCACAACUGCUAAUCCUUCCUCAGAUUCUCCAGGCAAGAAUCUGGAUCUCGAAAAUUCAUCAGUUUGACUCAAUGCCAUCUUAAAACAUUGUACCCCUCUCCCCCAACCUAUCUUUCUCUCCCCACAUGCAAAUUCAUUCAAGCCAUUUCUCUGCGUUUCUCCCUCUGUGGAGGAUGCUGCCUCCCAAAGGCUGGAGAGAGAGUCUAGAACGUUAAAUAAACCAUUUUCAGUCAUUAAAUCAGCAUUAUUUUUGUGUCACUAAAAUACUUGAUAAAAGGCCCAAUAAUCCAGAUGACCAAACCAUAAUAAUACGCACAGUUAUGGGGAGGCUUGUAUAUUUCCCCAUGUCCUCUUUGAAGGUUAUUCCCAAACAAGAGAAACAUUCUAGUACAUUUUCUCUAAGGUUUAUAUUUGGCUUUCUACCUAAAACAAGCUGGUACGUCAUUAUGGGAAUCAAUCCAUAUAUGUAAU
Non-coding RNA from Pogona vitticeps (central bearded dragon), 661 nucleotides. Lineage: Eukaryota; Metazoa; Chordata; Lepidosauria; Squamata; Agamidae. The record is from RefSeq and is a predicted model, not a curated record.